GACGAACGCUGGCGGCGUGCCUAAUACAUGCAAGUUGAGCGCUGAAGGUUGGUCCUUGUACCAACUGGAUGAGCAGCGAACGGGUGAGUAACGCGUGGGGAAUCUGCCUUUGAGCGGGGGACAACAUUUGGAAACGAAUGCUAAUACCGCAUAAAAACUUUAAACACAAGUUUUAAGUUUGAAAGAUGCAAUUGCAUCACUCAAAGAUGAUCCCGCGUUGUAUUAGCUAGUUGGUGAGGUAAAGGCUCACCAAGGCGAUGAUACAUAGCCGACCUGAGAGGGUGAUCGGCCACAUUGGGAAUGAGACACGGCCCAAACUCCUACGGGAGGCAGCAGUAGGGAAUCUUCGGCAAUGGACGAAAGUCUGACCGAGCAACGCCGCGUGAGUGAAGAAGGGUUUCGGAUCGUAAAACUCUGUUGGUAGAGAAGAACGUUGGUGAGAGUGGAAAGCUCAUCAAGUGACGGUAACUACCCAGAAAGGGACGGCUAACUACGUG
RNAcentral lists this ribosomal RNA (497 nucleotides) under uncultured bacterium. Its description in RNAcentral is "partial 16S ribosomal RNA". It matches the Rfam family "Bacterial small subunit ribosomal RNA", at positions 28 to 507 of the family's 1533-position model. The record is from RNAcentral.